Molecule: ribosomal RNA, 443 nt
Filed under: uncultured bacterium
Lineage: Bacteria
Description: partial 16S ribosomal RNA
Rfam family: Bacterial small subunit ribosomal RNA
Source: RNAcentral
CCUACGGGGGGCAGCAGUGGGGCAUAUUGGGCAAUGGGCGCAAGCCUGACCCAGCAACGCCGCGUGAAGGAAGAAGGCUUUCGGGUUGUAAACUUCUUUUCUCAGGGACGAAGCAAGUGACGGUACCUGAGGAAUAAGCCACGGCUAACUACUGGCCAGCAGCCGCGGAAAUACGUAGGUGGCAAGCGUUAUCCGGAUGUACGGGGUGUACAGGGCGUGUAGGCGGGACUGCAAGUCAGAUGUGAAAACCACGGGCUCAACCUGUGGCCUGCAUUUGAAACUGUAGUUCUUGAGUACUGGAGAGGCAGACGGAAUUCCUAGUGUAGCGGUGAAAUGCGUAGAUAUUAGGAGGAACACCAGUGGCGAAGGCGGUCUGCUGGACAGCAACUGACGCUGAGGCGCGAAAGCGUGGGGAGCAAACAGGAUUAGAUACCCCAGUAGUC